This 253-nucleotide ribosomal RNA is filed under the name uncultured bacterium. RNAcentral's name for it is "partial 16S ribosomal RNA". It matches the Rfam family "Bacterial small subunit ribosomal RNA", at positions 524 to 776 of the family's 1533-position model. The record is from RNAcentral.
UACAGAGGUGGCAAGCGUUGUUCGGAAUUACUGGGCGUAAAGGGCGCGUAGGCGGUCUUGUAAGUCCUGUGUGAAAUCCCUCGGCUCAACUGAGGAACUGCACGGGAUACUGCGAGACUUGAGUUCGGGAGAGGGAAGCGGAAUUCCGGGUGUAGCGGUGAAAUGCGUAGAUAUCCGGAGGAACACCGGUGGCGAAGGCGGCAUCCUGGACCAAUACUGACACUGAGGAGCGAAAGCCAGGGGAGCAAACGGG